GGAGGAAGAUCUGACGUUACUUGGAGAAUAAGCAUCGGCUAACCCUGUGCCAGCAGCCGCGGUAAUACAGGGGAUGCAAGUGUUAUCCGGAAUUAUUGGGCGUAAAGCGUCUGCAGGUGGAUAAGUAAGUCUUUUGUUAAAUCUUCGAGCUUAACUCGGAACAAGCAAAAGAAACUAUUUAUCUCGAGUAUGGUAGAGGUAGAGGGAAUUUCCAGUGGAGCGGUGAAAUGCGUAGAUAUUGGAAAGAACACCAACAGCGAAGGCACUCUACUGGGCCAUUACUGACACUCAGAGACGAAAGCUAGGGGAGCAAACAGGAUUAGAUACCCUGGUAGUCCUAGCUGUAAACGAUGGAUACUAGAUGUUGUGUACUUUAUGAGUAUGCAGUGUCGUAGCU
This 397-nucleotide ribosomal RNA is filed under the name uncultured cyanobacterium. Its description in RNAcentral is "bacterial SSU rRNA". It matches the Rfam family "Bacterial small subunit ribosomal RNA", at positions 443 to 853 of the family's 1533-position model. Lineage: Bacteria; Bacillati; Cyanobacteriota. The record is from RNAcentral.